UGGGGAUUUUCCGCAAUGGGGGGAACCCUGACGGAGCAACGCCGCGUGCGGGAGGAAGGCCUGUGGGUUGUAAACCGCUUUUCUCUAGGAAGAAGGUCUGACGGUACUAGAGGAAUCAGCAUCGGCUAACUCCGUGCCAGCAGCCGCGGUAAGACGGAGGAUGCAAGCGUUAUCCGGAAUUAUUGGACGUAAAGCGUCCGUAGGCGGUUUUUCAAGUCAGUUGUUAAAGACUGCAGCUCAACUGUGGGCGAGCAACUGAAACUGAUGAACUAGAGUGCGGUAGGGGUAGAGGGAAUUCCCAGUGUAGCGGUGAAAUGCGUAGAUAGUGGGAAGAACACCAGUGGCGAAGGCGCUCUACUGGGCCGCAACGGACGCUGAGGGACGAAAGCUAGGGGAGCGAAAGGGAUUAGAUACCGCCGUAGUCC
Molecule: ribosomal RNA, 425 nt
Filed under: uncultured prokaryote
Description: bacterial SSU rRNA
Rfam family: Bacterial small subunit ribosomal RNA
Source: RNAcentral